Halichondria panicea is the source of this 597-nucleotide long non-coding RNA. RefSeq lists it as uncharacterized. The transcript has 3 exons. The record is from RefSeq and is a predicted model, not a curated record. Lineage: Eukaryota; Metazoa; Porifera; Demospongiae; Suberitida; Halichondriidae.
UUCAGAUGGGAGCCUACGAUGAGGAGGAUUAUUUCAAAAAGGAAGCAAAACGAAACGUUUACCUUGUAAAAUUGGCCAGUGUUCCAGCUUCAAAAGUCCAUAACAACGUGCAAACCUGAAUUUAUAAACAUACAGUAGAGGUGAAAUUUACAGACCUUGGAAACAGUGACAGUUUUCUUUAUUCAACUUCUUACUAAAGUAGUCUACAGUAGUUACUGUGUCAGGAUCUCCUGGUUUCCAACGAAACAGUCAACCAGCCAAGGGCCAGAGCAAGGGAUCACUUCAGAGUGUGGCAAAGAAAGAUGCACCCCUUAGUAACAGUAACAGUUCUCUUCAAGCUACCUUGUAGUUCUAUCUGAACAGUCGAAGAGUUAUCCAGCCAAGGACAGAGCGAGAGAUUACUUUAGAGGUCUGUGAAACAAUCGUCACUGCUAUCUGCCAUGGAACCACCACCAUCUUAUGGUUCUGAGAAGUUCUACUCACUGUGACUACUAUCCAGGAUACCUCAUCCCCUGUGUACAGAGGCCUCUUUGUUAUUGUUGCACCAUAGAAUUAAUUAUUGUAAUUGUAUUUAUUAUAAUGUAUGUUCAUUUUUGA